RNAcentral lists this ribosomal RNA (419 nucleotides) under Bragasellus cortesi. Its description in RNAcentral is "partial 16S ribosomal RNA". It matches the Rfam family "Bacterial large subunit ribosomal RNA", at positions 1820 to 2542 of the family's 2925-position model. The record is from RNAcentral. Lineage: Eukaryota; Metazoa; Arthropoda; Malacostraca; Isopoda; Asellidae.
CUCUUAAAAACUUUUAAGUAAUCUCUGCCCAAUGAAAUUUAAAUGGCCGCAGUAUCUUGACUGUGCAAAGGUAGCAUAAUCAUUUGUUUUUUAAUUGAAAACUGGAAUGAAAGAGUUGACGAAAGGUAGUCUUUUGAUAGAUAAAUAAAAUUGACAUAACGGUUAAAAGGCCUUUAUAUCCCAGAGGGACGAUAAGACCCUAUAAAACUUUACCUUUAUAAUAAAUUUAAAAGACUAAUUUUGUAUUAAAGGUUAAGCUGGGGCGGCAUCUAUAAAAACAAUAAUAUUUAAAAUACCUAUAGUAAAUUUAAAGAGCUUAAAUAAGAAAAUUUGAACAAGUUACUUUAGGGAUAACAGCAUAAUUUUCUCUGAGAGUUCCCAUCGGCGGGGAAGAUUAUGACCUCGAUGUUGAAUUGAAA